GGUUAAGCGACUAAGCGUACACGGUGGAUGCCCUGGCAGUCAGAGGCGAUGAAGGACGUGCUAAUCUGCGAUAAGCGUCGGUAAGGUGAUAUGAACCGUUAUAACCGGCGAUUUCCGAAUGGGGAAACCCAGUGUGUUUCGACACACUAUCAUUAACUGAAUCCAUAGGUUAAUGAGGCGAACCGGGGAACUGAAACAUCUAAGUACCCCGAGGAAAAGAAAUCAACCGAGAUUCCCCCAGUAGCGGCGAGCGAACGGGGAGGAGCCCAGAGCCUGAAUCAGUGUGUGUGUUAGUGGAAGCGUCUGGAAAGGCGCGCGAUACAGGGUGACAGCCCCGUACACAAAAAUACACAUAUUGUGAGCUCGAUGAGUAGGGCGGGACACGUGGUAUCCUGUCUGAAUAUGGGGGGCCCAUCCUCCAAGGCUAAAUACUCCUGACUGACCGAUAGUGAACCAGUACCGUGAGGGAAAGGCGAAAAGAACCCCGGCGAGGGGAGUGAAAAAGAACCUGAAACCGUGUACGUACAAGCAGUGGGAGCACGCUUAGGCGUGUGACUGCGUACCUUUUGUAUAAUGGGUCAGCGACUUAUAUUCUGUAGCAAGGUUAACCGAAUAGGGGAGCCGAAGGGAAACCGAGUCUUAACUGGGCGUUAAGUUGCAGGGUAUAGACCCGAAACCCGGUGAUCUCAGCCAUGGGCAGGUUGAAGGUUGGGUAACACUAACUGGAGGACCGAACCGACUAAUGUUGAAAAAUUAGCGGAUGACUUGUGGCUGGGGGUGAAAGGCCAAUCAAACCGGGAGAUAGCUGGUUCUCCCCGAAAGCUAUUUAGGUAGCGCCUCGUGAAUUCAUCUCCGGGGUAGAGCACUGUUUCGGCAAGGGGUCAUCCCGACUUACCAACCCGAUGCAAACUGCGAAUACCGGAGAAUGUUAUCACGGGAGACACACGGCGGGUGCUAACGUCCGUCGUGAAGAGGGAAACAACCCAGACCGCCAGCUAAGGUCCCAAAGUCAUGGUUAAGUGGGAAACGAUGUGGGAAGGCCCAGACAGCCAGGAUGUUGGCUUAGAAGCAGCCAUCAUUUAAAGAAAGCGUAAUAGCUCACUGGUCGAGUCGGCCUGCGCGGAAGAUGUAACGGGGCUAAACCAUGCACCGAAGCUGCGGCAGCGACGCUUAUGCGUUGUUGGGUAGGGGAGCGUUCUGUAAGCCUGCGAAGGUGUGCUGUGAGGCAUGCUGGAGGUAUCAGAAGUGCGAAUGCUGACAUAAGUAACGAUAAAGCGGGUGAAAAGCCCGCUCGCCGGAAGACCAAGGGUUCCUGUCCAACGUUAAUCGGGGCAGGGUGAGUCGACCCCUAAGGCGAGGCCGAAAGGCGUAGUCGAUGGGAAACAGGUUAAUAUUCCUGUACUUGGUGUUACUGCGAAGGGGGGACGGAGAAGGCUAUGUUGGCCGGGCGACGGUUGUCCCGGUUUAAGCGUGUAGGCUGGUUUUCCAGGCAAAUCCGGAAAAUCAAGGCUGAGGCGUGAUGACGAGGCACUACGGUGCUGAAGCAACAAAUGCCCUGCUUCCAGGAAAAGCCUCUAAGCAUCAGGUAACAUCAAAUCGUACCCCAAACCGACACAGGUGGUCAGGUAGAGAAUACCAAGGCGCUUGAGAGAACUCGGGUGAAGGAACUAGGCAAAAUGGUGCCGUAACUUCGGGAGAAGGCACGCUGAUAUGUAGGUGAAGUCCCUUGCGGAUGGAGCUGAAAUCAGUCGAAGAUACCAGCUGGCUGCAACUGUUUAUUAAAAACACAGCACUGUGCAAACACGAAAGUGGACGUAUACGGUGUGACGCCUGCCCGGUGCCGGAAGGUUAAUUGAUGGGGUCAGCGCAAGCGAAGCUCUUGAUCGAAGCCCCGGUAAACGGCGGCCGUAACUAUAACGGUCCUAAGGUAGCGAAAUUCCUUGUCGGGUAAGUUCCGACCUGCACGAAUGGCGUAAUGAUGGCCAGGCUGUCUCCACCCGAGACUCAGUGAAAUUGAACUCGCUGUGAAGAUGCAGUGUACCCGCGGCAAGACGGAAAGACCCCGUGAACCUUUACUAUAGCUUGACACUGAACAUUGAGCCUUGAUGUGUAGGAUAGGUGGGAGGCUUUGAAGUGUGGACGCCAGUCUGCAUGGAGCCGGCCUUGAAAUACCACCCUUUAAUGUUUGAUGUUCUAACGUGGACCCGUGAUCCGGGUUGCGGACAGUGUCUGGUGGGUAGUUUGACUGGGGCGGUCUCCUCCUAAAGAGUAACGGAGGAGCACGAAGGUUGGCUAAUCCUGGUCGGACAUCAGGAGGUUAGUGCAAUGGCAUAAGCCAGCUUGACUGCGAGCGUGACGGCGCGAGCAGGUGCGAAAGCAGGUCAUAGUGAUCCGGUGGUUCUGAAUGGAAGGGCCAUCGCUCAACGGAUAAAAGGUACUCCGGGGAUAACAGGCUGAUACCGCCCAAGAGUUCAUAUCGACGGCGGUGUUUGGCACCUCGAUGUCGGCUCAUCACAUCCUGGGGCUGAAGUAGGUCCCAAGGGUAUGGCUGUUCGCCAUUUAAAGUGGUACGCGAGCUGGGUUUAGAACGUCGUGAGACAGUUCGGUCCCUAUCUGCCGUGGGCGCUGGAGAACUGAGGGGGCUGCUCCUAGUACGAGAGGACCGGAGUGGACGCAUCACUGGUGUUCGGGUUGUCAUGCCAAUGGCACUGCCCGGUAGCUAAAUGCGGAAGAGAUAAGUGCUGAAAGCAUCUAAGCACGAAACUUGCCCCGAGAUGAGUUCUCCCUGACCCUUUAAGGGUCCUGAAGGAACGUUGAAGACGACGACGUUGAUAGGCCGGGUGUGUAAGCGCAGCGAUGCGUUGAGCUAACCGGUACUAAUGAACCGUGAGGCUUAACCUU
This 2901-nucleotide ribosomal RNA is filed under the name Shigella sonnei. RNAcentral describes it as "23S ribosomal RNA". It matches the Rfam family "Bacterial large subunit ribosomal RNA". The record is from RNAcentral. Lineage: Bacteria; Pseudomonadati; Pseudomonadota; Gammaproteobacteria; Enterobacterales; Enterobacteriaceae.